AGAGUUUGAUCCUGGCUCAGGACGAACGCUGGCGGCGUGCUUAACACAUGCAAGUCGAACGGUAAGGCCCUUCGGGGUACACGAGUGGCGAACGGGUGAGUAACACGUGGGUAAUCUGCCCUGCACAUCGGGAUAAGCCUGGGAAACUGGGUCUAAUACCGAAUAGGACCACAGGACACAUGUCCUGUGGUGGAAAGCUUUUGCGGUGUGGGAUGGGCCCGCGGCCUAUCAGCUUGUUGGUGGGGUGAUGGCCUACCAAGGCGACGACGGGUAGCCGGCCUGAGAGGGUGUCCGGCCACACUGGGACUGAGAUACGGCCCAGACUCCUACGGGAGGCAGCAGUGGGGAAUAUUGCACAAUGGGCGAAAGCCUGAUGCAGCGACGCCGCGUGGGGGAUGACGGCCUCCGGGUUGUAAACCUCUUUCACCAUCGACGAAGGCCCGGGUUUUCUCGGGCUGACGGUAGGUGGAGAAGAAGCACCGGCCAACUACGUGCCAGCAGCCGCGGUAAUACGUAGGGUGCGAGCGUUGUCCGGAAUUACUGGGCGUAAAGAGCUCGUAGGUGGUUUGUCGCGUUGUUCGUGAAAUCUCACGGCUUAACUGUGAGCGUGCGGGCGAUACGGGCAGACUUGACUACUGCAGGGGAGACUGGAAUUCCUGGUGUAGCGGUGGAAUGCGCAGAUAUCAGGAGGAACACCGGUGGCGAAGGCGGGUCUCUGGGCAGUAACUGACGCUGAGGAGCGAAAGCGUGGGGAGCGAACAGGAUUAGAUACCCUGGUAGUCC
This 783-nucleotide ribosomal RNA is filed under the name uncultured bacterium. RNAcentral's name for it is "bacterial SSU rRNA". It matches the Rfam family "Bacterial small subunit ribosomal RNA", at positions 8 to 796 of the family's 1533-position model. The record is from RNAcentral.